CCUCCGCUGCCCGUUUGUGUUAUUUAAUCAACACACAAUUACCAAAACAUGAAAACAUCAGUCAAAAAGGAACUGAAUCGACUGUUUGCUUGUGCGAAAUAUUCUCAAUAACAUAAACUAAAAAAAACAAGACAUAGCACUCACAAAUUAAUCAAUCCCAAAUAACAAGAAAACAGUAAAGCAAACAUGAUAUGGUCCAUGGAUGUAUAAAGCAAAUCUUCACAAAUAAUUAAACACUAACAUUAAGGAGAAAGAACAGAUGAACCUCAAUGCUCUCUAACGAUUUAUGUUUGGAAAUACAAGUAAAAACCGGUGACCGGAGACCUCAACGGAAACCUCGACGCACCUCAUCGGAAGAAAAUUUUCUAAUGCUUGCCGCUGACCAGAAAUGUAAGCCGCGAUCGGAACCCGGAAUCGAAACUCGGCGGACGGAACCUUGAAUUCGCUCUAAUUUAGCUAAAAUGUGUGUUGAUAUUCCAACGAUAAUUGACAGAGUUCAAUCUUACAGAGAAACUAGAGAUGAUUUUCGAUCUCUUACUAUUGCUACCACUUGAUUGAUUGUAAAACUUCCACUCUACCCAAGCUCAUCCUUUGAAUUUCCAGUAGCUAAAAGGGAAAAAUGCCUACCUUAGCAUCAAGGAGAAGGCAGAAGAAGGUCGUUGGUUAGGUUUCGUGUGUGUGUGUUUUGUGUUUAAUAGCUGUUUCUUUAUUUUGUGAAGAAGAUGAUGACAGGCGAGGGGUCGUGUGAAGGAGACGAAAAUCUAGGGGUUUGUCUAUUGCGGAGCUGCUGAUGAUCUCUCUUAGGCAUCAUUUCUUAGGGUCUAAUUUAGGUCUCUCCUUUUUUUUGUAAUUUUUUGGCUGAUUUCUCUCAAGUGUCUUUCGGUUGACCCCUUGUGUAUUAGGGGUCUAGGUUAUAACUUGUGUGUGUUCUCUUUUUGCUCUUAGUUCCUUAGGGUCUUUUUUUAUUCCCAAGAAGAGUCUAGAAGGGUCCCUAGGGUUAGCUUAGACCAAAAUUGGGCUCUAAAACUCCUAAAAUUGUGAUCCAAUACCUUAAUUGACUCCUUUUAAAAUAAGAUAAAAAUAUUACACAAUGCAAAAGUUAAUCCUAAUUAAUUAAACUAAACUAUAUUAAAACAUGNNNNNNNNNNNNNNNNNNNNNNNNNCAAAAGAAGUCAAAAUUGGUUGAAAUAGCUAUAUUAGACCCAACUAAAUAUUUUACGCUAAAAUGGGUGAAAUUUCAAGGAGGGUCAAAAAUUACAUGUCUACAGCUGCCCUUCUUUGACUGAAAUACAAAGUAUUUUCAAACAAAGAAUGACUAGACAGUUUUUUUGACCUGACCCUUAUUUAAAGAGACCCAAAGCUAAAAGAAAGGAGAAUGUGACCGAUCCCUGGUAUCUGAGUUGCCUACAUAUCCUUGGGUAUAAAGGAAUCAAGCCACGUGUAGUUCAAAAGUAAGUGAGAUGAUGGAGUAUACCGAGGUGGAGAGCCGAUCUAGGUGCCGUUCUGUCGAGGUUCUGGUCUGUGGUCCUGUUAUUACAUCAAAAUCAAAAAAUGGAAACGACUAACUAAGCCUGUCAACUAUGAGUUACAAGAUUCCUAUCUAUAAGUCUUUUGAAGCUUGAUCUUGAGUCUUGAAUGGUACUUCAUGCAGACUUUAGAUUUGAACCUUGACGUUUGCUAGCUGCAGGUACUAGUUUAGUCUUCUCCAGAUCGAGACCGGACAUGCCAUGCUCGUGAUUUCAGCCAUGUCUUGAGCAGUUCACAUCUUUCAUCAACUUCUGCAUUUGGAUUCACUUUUUGCCAUUCUCUUUUUUUAUUCUGGAUUGCGACUAACUUCCGUUGAUCAUCUCGGACUGUUGACUCGCAUUCUUGCUGCAAGUUUCUUUUGUUGCUGACUUGAAUUGCAUUCUGAAAUGAAUUCCCUUAUUCUCCAGGUAGCGCCUAAUUGCCAACAUUUAAACUGUCUUCUCUUGUUCUCCAAGCGGGAACUUGAUUACCAAAACUUGAAUUGUCUUCCCUUUGUUACCUUAAACUGUUUUCCCUUGAAACUUGUGUUGUCUUCCUNNNNNNNNNNNNNNNNNNNNNNNNNNNNNNNNNNNNNNNNNNNNNNNNNNNNNNNNNNNNNNNNNNNNNNNNNNNNNNNNNNNNNNNNNNNNNNNNNNNNNNNNNNNNNNNNNNNNNNNNNNNNNNNNNNNNNNNNNNNNNNNNNNNNNNNNNNNNNNNNNNNNNNNNNNNNNNNNNNNNNNNNNNNNNNNNNNNNNNNNNNNNNNNNNNNNNNNNNNNNNNNNNNNNNNNNNNNNNNNNNNNNNNNNNNNNNNNNNNNNNNNNNNNNNNNNNNNNNNNNNNNNNNNNNNNNNNNNNNNNNNNNNNNNNNNNNNNNNNNNNNNNNNNNNNAAACUCGAACUGACUCCUCUGAAAUUUCAACUUUUCCUUUGUUCUCCAGGUGGGUGCCUGAUUUCCAACUCGAACUGACUCCUCUGAAACUGCUGCUUUCCCUUUGUUCUCUAGGUGGGUGGCUGAUUUCCAACACUUGCACUACUUUUCCUUGAGACUUAAGUCGUUUUCUCUUGUUCUCUCCAGGCGGGCUCUUGAUUGCUAGCCUUUGCACUGGUUUUCCCCCGAAACUUGAAAUGUUUCUCUUUGUUCUUCAGGUGGGAUCCUGAUUACCAACACUUGAAUUGCUUUCCCUUCGUUCUCUAGGUGGGUGCCUGAUUUCCAACUCUUGAAUUGCUUUUCCCUUUGUUCUUCAGGUGGACUCCUAAUUACCAACACUUGAAUCGCUCUCCCUUUGUUCUCCAGGUGGGCUCCAGAUUACCAACACUUGAAUUGAUCUCCCUUUGUUCUCCAGGUGGGCUCCUGAUUACCAACACUUGAAUCGCUUUCCCUUUGUUCUCCAGGUAGGCUCCUGAUUACCGACGCUUGAAUUGUUUUUCCCUUUGUUCUCCAAGUGGGCUCCUGAUUUCUUGACCCUAGACUGUUUUCUAUUCUUAAAAUUUGUGUUGUUUUCCCUCGCUCUCCAGGUGGGCCCCUGAUUACAACAUAAUAGACAAAACAAAGAAAAUUUUCUGCCCCAAUUUGGUAGCUGGGCACAUCUGUGAGUGUUAAUUGAAACAUGUCACCCAAUAUCUCUAAGAAUUUGAAAGCUAGAUCUCAUUAUCCAGGAGGGUCCUGAAAACAACAAAUUAAAUAUCAUCUUAAGAGUGAAAACAUUAAAGUUGAAUUAUAUUUCCUAAAGGUAAAAUUCACGCUAAAUCUUGUUAUCUAUGAAGGUCUUACAAUUUAACUUGGUCCCAUUAUCCAGGAGGAUCCUGAAAACUUUCAAAAUUAAAUCCCAUUAUCCAGGAGGGCCCUGAAAUUUUUAAAAUUAAAUCUCAUUAUCCAGGAGGGUCCUGAAAAGCUGAGAAUGAACUUACCUGAGCCAUCUCUCUUCCUAAAGGAUCUCUGCAGAACAAACAAAAUUCCUUGCCCCUGAACCAUGCUUUCCUCAUGGAGGGUUCCUGCAGAUCGAACAAAUUUUCUCUCUCCUUCUCAAACCGCCUUUGUGCCAACAAAAUUUGGGCACGACACUUGAAAAAUUUAAGCUUCCAAGUUUUGACUUGGGCAUAGUCUUCGUCCCUAUUUCAAACAAAGAAAACUUGUGAGUUUAAACAUGGUUGUUGGUUUGUGGCCUUGACUUUGAGGGCAAUUGCUCCUUCACUUUCCAUGAUAACUUUGAUUUCAACUCGAAAGACCUUGCUUAUUUAUUGACUAACCACUUUCUCUGUCACCCUUAUCACGGAAAAUACCUCUGAUCCGUUCAAACCCAAUACCAUUCAUCUGUUGCAUUGUGCUCAUGCAGUGACAUGUACUGAACCUUUGUGUUUUAUAUGAAUCCCAAAGCACGUCAAUUGUAACCCACUCAGUGCGCAUGUUGUUCCUUCCUUAUUCAACCCACUGGCCUUGGCCUUGAUGUCUAUUGCUCCUUCACCUACCAUGAUAACUUUGAUUUCUGCUUGGAAGACCUUGCUUGUCAUUAGUUAACAACUUUCUCUGUCAACCUUGUCGCAGAAACUACCUUUGAUCUGUUCAACCAACAUCCCCUACCUGUUGCAUUGUUCAUAAAUUGACAUAUACCAAACCUUUGUAGUUCACAUGAAUCCCAAAGUGCGUUGAUUGUUACCAACUCAGUGCGCACAUUGUUCUUUCCUAAUUUAUGCCACUUUGAUGUGCUCACUAGAUACCGUUUUGUGCAAUUGGAAGUUGGUGACAAAUUUUGAACUCAUUUCUCACUUGUUCUGACCAAACAGAUGCAGGAAGAGGAAGUAGACAAGACAAAAGGAACAGAGUAAAAGACAAUAGAAAGAGGUGAUUCCUAACAAGAAAACUACAAAGUAGAAACUUAUCAGAUGUGUAUACCAACUCUAAUGACCAUGACAUGCACCUGUGGCCUAAUUUGUCAAGCAACCGUGGUGUUCAACUCUUGUUAUACCCCUAAACUGUGAAACUGGGCUUCAAUGCUCCGAUUAUCCAAUCUGAUUCAUGAUCCUUAUUCGACUUGUAGUGCCCGAAGGGUUUUCACUAUCAAGCCUCUCUCAUUUUUCUCUCUCUCAACUCACCGUCGCCUUACGGUGCCUGUGAAGGUUUUCACUGAUAAGGCUCUCUCAUUUUGAUCUUUUCUUUUUAUUUCCUCUGAUCCUGUAGAUGAAAAGGCAUGAACCAUGGUAAAAACAUCAUAUACCCUUGGUAUGUCUAAACUCAACACUCUCAAAGAUUAUCCGGGAGGUCUUUUUUGGACUGUAAUGCGGCUUUUGGAUAGGGUUAGAAAGGAAGGAUAUCACAAAGGCUCAAACAACUAAAAUAAUAGGGUUAAUUUAUGUACAACUUUUGGAAUCCAUUUUAAAAACUUUGCGCCAAUUCUGAAACAAGGGAAGUUGACUCUUUUUUUUUAGAUGGAAUUUCGAAGAAAGACUGCCCCACUUUUGCCUUCAUGGGAUUAUGAAAUAUUUUAUUUAGUAUGACCGAACUAUAAGGCUUCCUAGGUAUCUUUUGGUGACAAGAAUCAAGUCAAACGUAGUUCACAACUACUUUUUUUGUUACUAUUUUCCUUUUCCCUUUUUUCUUUCUCUUUUUUUUCUUUUUUCUUCUUUUUUUCUUUUUUUCCUUUCUCUUUUAUUUAUCUCCAUUUUUCUCUUUGUUUUUUUUUUGAAUUUUCCUUUUGGAAUGACUUUCUAAAAUAAACCUACGGGGACAUGAAUUGUUUUUCUCUUUUUUCCCAUAUAACUCUAACUUGAUUCCAAAAGAGGGGAGGUCGAAGAAAUCAGUAUAGGCUCAAAAGGGUAUCAAAUGGUAUAAGUAUUUGGGUAGCUGAAAGAAGGCCUCCCAAUCCCUGAAAAUGCCAAAUACAACACAUGCAACUUGAGGAUGAAAAUUGAAAAUCGUGCACAAUAUUUUUUUUGCGGCUUCGACAAUGAUAUCACUGAUAUGCCUUCCACUUUUCUUUAGCGCCUUGUCAAUUACAUAACCCUCGUUGGGUGAUUCCUUUUUCACAAUGGAUAUCCUCCGUCAAUUCGGAGAAAACUUCUUUGGCUUUAUCUUGUAAGUUAGAUGCACUUGAACUCAAAGUUGCUUGCUUCAAAUCGUCCGGGAUGUACUCUCCCUUUACGAAUUCUUGUCGUCCUAUUAACUUUUCAAAUUAUCUGCCCCAGUUUCACAAAAUUCGGGCUUUAAGUGAUCUCAAAAUCCCUUUACUUACUUCCCUCAAAUGUCCCUAUCAUCUUCAAAGUUAUUUUAAUACUUCAUGACUAAACUAACUUUUAAGACCAGACUAGAAUUAUGCUUGCAUGUCAUGUCACUAGAGCCAGCAUAAAAAGAAUUAUAAAAGAAAAAGAGAACUAAACAACAAUGACUAGAAAUAGCAGAAAACAGAAAAUUACAUUAGACAGACGGUGAAAGGGUUUGAAUAAAAAGACAAGCAAAAUAAACUGGGGUACAACCCUGGAACAAAACUAGAUAACACUAAAUGAGUUAUUACAACUGAAGGAACUAGGCAAAAUAAAGGAUAGAAGGGUUUGAGUCACAAUACAAUAUCCGAAUUACCAUCCUAAAAUAACCCGGACAACAGAAAUGACAACAAAAUAAACCACCAAGACUCCCCCGUACUUUCCAAGAGAUGGAGCGUCUUUCCAAUUACCAUGCAUGACAUCUUAGCCACUGGAUUCUACAUCAAUAUUGCCAAUACCAUUAACAACUUCAAUAUCAUUAACUUCAGUCAGCAGGUUCCCAAGAGAAUUCGCAUGCUCCCUGUCACUGUCCUUGAUCACAAUUGCCCCUUCUUGAAUCAUUCUUUCUAUUUCCCUUUUCAAAGCACGACAAUCAUUGAUGCUAUGACCUUGUACAUUAUAGUGGUACAUGUAUCGUAUAGUAGGAUCAGAACCUUUUGCAUAUGGGUCCGGAGUAUAGCCAAGGAGUGGCUUUAUCAGGCCAAAAUGCUUUAACUUUUCAAACAAGCUCGUGUAGGUCUCCCUGAUUGGCGUGUAACUAUUUCUUCGCCUUUGCUUCCCUCCAUGCCCCAGUUUUCUAGGGUUGUUGGAUGCUCGAAAAUGCUAUAAGGGAAAAAGUGCAUUAUGUAGUGUCGGUGCUCGCCAUGAGGAAUGACCCAGUGGUUGGACAGAUGUUCGGACGUUGUUCGAAGGAUAAUACUGGAGUGGAUUAUAUGGAGCUUGGGGAUGUUCAUAGGGUCGGUAUUGAGGCUGAAAGCGUUGAGCAGGAAUGCCCACUGGAUCCCGUCGUUGGCGGGGCACAACAACAUCUUUUGUAUUUCUCUUUCUUCCACCCAGACUUACUGAGAUGUUCUGAAUGUCUUCUAUAGUAUCUUUCAAUGCAGAAUAACUCAUGAUUUUUCCUGACUUGAUUCUUUUCUCUACCAUCUCCCCCAUUUUUACCACAUCAUUGAAAGGUUUACCUAAGGCCGGGAUCAAAUGACUGAAGUAGGUGGGUCGCUGGGCUUGUAGGAAAAGCUCAACCAUUUCUUCUUCACCAACCGUGGGGCUGACCCGAGCAGCUUGUUCCCUCCAUCUAAGCCCAAACUCCCUAAAGCUUUCCUUCGGUUUCUUUUCCACUUUGGAUAGGGAGGAGCGGUCUGGGAUAAUGUCUAGAUUGUAUUGGAAGUGUCGAACAAAAUAUUGAGCCAUGCCAUCCCAUGUAUGCCACUUAUUGACAUCUUGACGUGUAUGCCAUUCCAAGGCUGCCCUAGCCAGGCUCUCACGAUGGAUCUCCACGCCCAUCAUACUAGUUAAACUUUGGCAUUUUAAACCCCGCGGGCAGAUGGACAUCAGGGAAUAUACACAAUUCAUUGUAAGACAUGUUAGUCUGAUUUCGCAUUCCCUACAUGCUCCUUAAGGACUAUUCUAUACCUUUUAGCUUCUUGGAUAUCUCAUCUUGCCCUUCUUUUCCUGUGAACUUUUCAUUUUCAACUUGAGGCUCAUUCCGAGAGCUGUGAUUAUAUGAGUCAGGGACCUUGUGGGCAACCUCUGAGGGGUAGUAUUGGGCAUCAAAGGGGUUGAAUUGGUGUUCACUGUUGGACCUGAGGAGAGGUUGUUGAGAAGUUGUAAUCGUGGAGGUAGUGGAUAGGACAAAAGGGCAAUUUUUGGGAAAGGUAGAUGGAGGACGAGUGAUGGAGCUACUGGGGUGGUUGGGAAAGUUGUGAUAAGCGGGAAAAUCUGGAGAAUAUGGGGAAUCAUCUGCCACUAUGACCGGAGUUUGGGUAAGGGUAACAUCUAGGAAGGUAGGUGGUGGCGGGGGUGGUGCUUUCCUAGUCAUCCAAGCCCGAUACAUGUCCGCCAUGUAUUGUCUUAACAUCCUCAGCUAUUCAACCAACCCAUUGUCCUAUUCAACCAAUUGCUUUUGGGCACUCGUAUCAACCAACUCAGUUCUGUUAUCAUCUGCCAUUUCCUUUCAACUUUAUGUUGUAGAGAAAAGAUACCACUUUAAGAACCACAAACCAACCACCCUUUCUGCUUUAUAACAAAAGGAGCAAAAUGAGCUCAUCACGUUAGCGUUAGGGCAUUUAACAGCUAAAAUAUCACAUGGCGUGCAAUCCACCUAGCAACAAGUAAUGGUUCGAGAAUGACUUCAAGAGUCACAAGGUCACUUGGCAUCAUCCCCAUUUGUUCAAUUAAACCUUCUCUUUUCUUUGCUUUCGUAGCACUUCUUGGCUCGCUCAUUUUCCUUCCCUUUUUUUUCUUCUAAUUAUCACUUUUUCUUUUCUCAUUUCUCACAUCCCAUAAUUUCACCUCUCUUUUUUGUUCUUUUGCUUCAUUUUUAUUUUAAAUAAAAAAAUAAAAAAAAUGAAUCGAUUGAACCCUAUGUAGGUUGUCUACGUAUUAUGUCCCUUAUGAAUCAGACCAAGUGUAGUUCUUGAAAAGUAAUGGAUAAAUUAAACUAAAAAAAAAUAAAAGUCUUUUUGGAUUAUUCAUUUACAACUUUUUUUUUAAUUUUCAAAACAAAAACAAGAAAUAGGAAAAUAAGAAACUCAACUCAACUAUACUACGACAAACUCCGGCACCAACAAAAAGAUCAUUGCUACUAGACAUAACUAUAAAGUACAAGAUAACAUAAAAGAAACAAACUCAAAAUAUAAAAAAUUCCUCCUUAAGCAACUCCUGGAUGCAAUGUUCCUGACCAGAUGGUCUUGGGGUGUUUGUCAUGCCCAAACACCGGUAAGUAGAUUCACACCUGCAUAAGAAACUAAAGCCAAAUAGAGUUAAGGAUUUAGAACACUAUGUGAGACAAUAACACUCCCUGUUGGACACAUGCAAGACAUGAUUGUGCAAAAUAGCUUACUUGGCCAAAAGGCAGCUAGAAGUGCAAACUCAACAAAGGUGACCUAUAAGACAUGGAAAAAUUACUUUUGCAGAAAUAACCGAUUUUGUAGAAAUGGCCAAUGUGGCCAAAAGACGGCUAAGCAUGCAAAUUCAACAGAAUGACCUUAAACAGAGAGAACAUCUUGUUGUGGACUUAGAACUCUAAAGCAUGGGCUAAUUGAACCACUUUUGCAAAAAUAACCCCACAUUGCAAAACGGCCUAUGUGCCCAAAAGCGGCUGGACAAGCAAUUUUGACAAGGACGGACCUCUAAAGUAAAGAGACACCUAAUUAUGGAUUCAAGACUAUUCAGACAAUUAAACAAACCACUUUGCGAAAAUAGCCAUAUUUUGCAGAAUGACCGAUGUGGCCAAAAGUGGGUAGACAUGCAAGAUUUGGCUAAGACCCCGCGAAGCCAAGAACCUAAGACUUACUAAAAAGACCGGACCCUAUGUGGGUUUCCUACAUAUCACGCCCCGAAAUACGAGAAUCAGGUAUGCGUAGUUCGGGCAUAUUGGAUACGGGCGAGAAAUAAAAACAACUAAUCUAGAGAAAAAUAUAUUUUUUGUCGUCUUUUUUUUUUAAAAAAAAUAAUUAAAUAAAAAUGAUGAAACACGUAAACUCUUUUUGUAUUUUCUUUACCCUUUGUUUUGAUUUUUGAUUUUCGAAAAAUGAUGAAAAAGUGUAAAAUCUUUUUGAAUUUUUCAUUUUCAUUUUUUGGUCUUUCUUUAAAAAAAUGUGAAAGAAAAACAUAACCGGGCCAUACUUGCUUCAUUUUUGCACUUCACCCCCUUUUUUUCAUUUAUCCUCAAACCUCAUUGGUCCGCCAAAUAACCUCUUUUACCUUGGAUAAUUGCAACAUGUAGCACAUAAGAUGCAUUAGGAUGGUCUUUUAUUCUUUGGGUACACCUGUCCUAGACGGACCCAACCCCUGUGUUGAGUUCCCAAAGUCAAAUGCACAUGAUGCAAACAAACGUUCCUACUAGGGAUCCGGCAUGAGGAUGAGUAAUUCUAAGUUCAAAACCUGGGUAUGUUGUUCUAGACUUAUGUACCCGAGUGGACAACUCAAACCGAGGGGGGGCUACGUACCGGGAACCAAAAGGCCAUCCGACUUUGUAACUUGUUCGAUCCUCUUCCUAAUUUAAGGUAUGACACUAACAGAAGAGGAGUCACGCCAGCGUGCACAUCCCCGAAGAUGAGAAGAGAAGGGUUUCGUACCAUUUUAUAUACAGUUCAUAUAGUAUCAAAGCGGUAAAAAACAGCAUUUAGCACAUUAUGCGCAAACAUGUAAAAAUCAAAUAAUAAACAAAGCCAAUUAUAACAAUUAUUCUAAUCUCGAAUUAUGAACCCUGAACCAGAGAUUUUAGGUUCUUGUCCCCAGCAGAGUUGCUCAACUGUUAUUAUUGGCUUAUUUAUCUAAUUUUAAAAUAUUUUUGAAACCUAUGCGCAUUUUAUUCCUUUUAAACCGCUUUAAUAAUCCGAUUGUUACAUAUCGCGAAUCAUGUCACGGGAACCAUACCCACAAUCUACAACAUGUUUAAAUUAUUAAAGAUUAAAUAGUGGCCGGGUCACAUAAAUGUACCCCCGGAUUUUAGUAAUUAAGCAUCACAACUACGUCGCGGGAACCGUACCUGUAGCUAUGGCAAUUAUUAACUAAACGCAUGUAAAGCAAACUAUGAGAGUUCAAGGCAGUUUCUACACUAGUUAAGAUAUCGAUGUGAGGGCCAUAGACUAAGUGAUUGUAUGGCACACCUUGAACUAUAUGAACUAACCACUUUAUUAUUAAGAAAGUUUGUUCAAAGUUGCGCGAACGCAUACUCCGAAUUAUUUUUUAGAAUCGUAAUCGUGGCACGUGAACGUGUACACAAUCACGAUUAUUGAAGUAUUGAUUGAAAUUUUAUAAAAAUAGUUAAGCCAACAUUAGGAAAGGAUUCGGCCAAAUGAUAAAACUAGAGCUAGGAACUAACUAAACUUGAUAAAAUAUCUGAUAAAGGAAAACAAAUUUUACAAUACCAAACCUCAUGGCCAGAUUCAGUUACCACCACUUAUCAUUAAAUUUUCAAAUUUAAUUUUCAUGAAAUGUUCUAAACGGUCCAAAUGUGAAAUUCAUGUACUCCAAUUAUAUAUCACUCCCUUUUGUUUAGACUCAUAAUAUCUUUUUUUCUUUCCGAAACUAUAUUAACAAUCUAACAACAACGGCUGCUUCUUACUAAUUAUAGUCAACAAUUUUGCGUAGCCACUCGGGAUUGCUAUUUGUUAUGAUAUUGCUGAUAGAUGAUGGAAGAAGUUAAGAGUAGUCAAUUUAUGGUGUGGGAUAUAGAGGAAGCCCAAAUGUCUUAAUUAUGUUCAAGCCUCCACUACCCGUUUGUGUUAUUUAAUCAACACACAAUUACCAAAACGUGAAAACAUUAGUAAAAAAGGAACUGAAUCGACUGUUUGCUUGUGCGAAAUAUUCUCAAUAACAUAAACUAAAAAAAACAAGACAUAGCACUCACAAAUUAAUCAACCCCAAAUAAAAAGAAAACAGUAAAGCAAACAUGAUAUUGUCCAUGGAUGUAUAAAGCAAAUCUUCACAAAUAAUUAAACACUAACAUUAAGGAGAAAGAACAGAUGAACCUUCAAUGCUCUCUAACGAUUUAUGUUUGGAAAUACAAGUAAAAACCGACGACCGGAGACCUCAACGGAA
Molecule: long non-coding RNA, 11525 nt
Filed under: Nicotiana tabacum (common tobacco)
Lineage: Eukaryota; Viridiplantae; Streptophyta; Magnoliopsida; Solanales; Solanaceae
Description: long non-coding RNA (NTAB_LNC001023)
Source: RNAcentral